UUAGUGACUCUGAAAUACCAGCUCCUGAGAGUCUGGAAGCAGUGACUAUGAAGAUAGUGCAAGAUAUUGAUCUGUUACCAAACAGAAACAAACAACAGGAAAAAAAGCAAAUACAAGAUGGCAAAAAACCCUGCAACACUGCACAUUUAGAAGGCAAAAGCCAGUGCUACAAGAAAAAGAACCAUUCACAGAAAAAAGACAUAGAAAAGUUACAGUCCAAGAAGAGGAAGAUCCACUGUGUCAUAACAGCUUAUCCAUCAUUUCUAAGGAAAGUGAGCAGAACGAAAAGCAGAAACACCAUUUUCCAGAACCAAGGCUAUUCUGUUACUCUACUUCAGGAAACAAUUAAAUCGUUGCAGCAGCAGAUAGGUGUUUUACUGAAUGAAAAAAAGACAGCAGUAUCUUCUGUGAAGGAAUUUAAAGAAACAAAUGAAAAACUAACAACUCAGCUACGUUUGGCUGAUCAGAGACUUCAAAGUAG
This 481-nucleotide long non-coding RNA is filed under the name Gallus gallus (chicken). RNAcentral describes it as "long non-coding RNA NONGGAT011824". The record is from RNAcentral. Lineage: Eukaryota; Metazoa; Chordata; Aves; Galliformes; Phasianidae.